Molecule: long non-coding RNA, 882 nt
Organism: Argiope bruennichi
Lineage: Eukaryota; Metazoa; Arthropoda; Arachnida; Araneae; Araneidae
Exons: 3
Source: RefSeq, a predicted model, not a curated record
CCAGUACUGUUUUCUCGGUUCCAUGUACAUGUUAUCCAUCAGUACCGAUGGUGGAUGAGAGGAAGUAUUCUCUUAAGAUGACGUCAAAGUACAAGGAAUUAAAGGACACAGUUUUGAAGCGAUUACGGCACAACAGAUAACAUGGAGCUUCAAGCGCAUAUUAGAAUCCUAUGGAAUUCGACUAACCGAUCAGAUUCAUUGGAUGAUUUAUAAAGCCUCAAAUAUUAGACUAAGCUUAAUAUAUCAACUUUGUAUAAAAAAAUGCCGGAAUUUUAAAAAUCUGCACAGUGGAUUGAAAGCGAGAGAAAUAGUUAUAUUCUCUGCGUAUUCCAGGAAAGUGGCUUCUAAGUGACGAGUCUGAACUACGUUGAUUUCUUAGUCUGUAGAGGAGAAAACCAUGGCCAUUACUUCUUAAUCUGUCUUCAAAAGAUGAACAGAAAAAGCGAAUGAGAAUUUCAGUUUUUAGAGUAGUAAGAACUUUGGAGAUAUAUCAAUUUAAAUUACUUUACUUAUACCUGAAAGCAUUCUGACGGAAUACUCCGUUUACUCAUGAUGGAACGUCUUGUGAAUCGAAAGAUGCAGAAUCUCUUGCAAUUGAUAUUAGAGCAGCGCAUUCUGCAAAGACUACAUUAGAGGCCAUUUAAUUGAACAACGGCUUAAUACCACUUCUCAUCUGUGCAGUGAAUAAAUACCAUUUUGGCUCCAGCCACAAAUUCUAAAUAUUGGAGAUGUCUGGAUUGGCGGAAAAAAUGAUACUGAAGCGAUAUCGGUAUUCAUAGGUCAGACAAUUUACGAUCAUUAUGGAUGCAUCUUUCUUGGGUAAAAGUGUCACCAUCAGUAAAAAGGCUUUUUCGGUUCCAGAUGCAAGACGUCAACACUCAC